UGCUACAGUCAUGUCAACCUGCAGCCCAAGACUGGUUACUUACUGAAGCUAAGCAGGGUUGAGCCUAGUCAGUACCUGGGAUGGGAGACCACAUGUGAAAACUAGGUUGCUGUUGGAA
This is a ribosomal RNA of Danio rerio (zebrafish), 118 nucleotides long. Lineage: Eukaryota; Metazoa; Chordata; Actinopteri; Cypriniformes; Danionidae. The record is from Ensembl.